This 744-nucleotide ribosomal RNA is filed under the name uncultured marine bacterium. RNAcentral describes it as "bacterial SSU rRNA". It matches the Rfam family "Bacterial small subunit ribosomal RNA", at positions 57 to 789 of the family's 1533-position model. The record is from RNAcentral.
GCAGCAGACCGUGACAAUCCCUUCGGGGUGCGUUUGGUGCUGGCGAGUGGCGGACGGGUGAGUAACACGUAGGAAUCUGCCCAACAGUGGGGGACAACCCGAGGAAACUCGGGCUAAUACCGCAUACGCCCUACGGGGGAAAGCGGGGGACUUUCGGGCCUCGCGCUGAUGGAUGAGCCUGCGUCGGAUUAGCUUGUUGGUGAGGUACCGGCUCACCAAGGCGACGAUCCGUAGCUGGUCUGAGAGGAUGACCAGCCACACUGGGACUGAGACACGGCCCAGACUCCUACGGGAGGCAGCAGUGGGGAAUAUUGCACAAUGGGCGAAAGCCUGAUGCAGCCAUACCGCGUGGGUGAAGAAGGCCUUAGGGUUGUAAAGCCCUUUCAGUUGGGAAGAAAAGGUUAGGGAUAAUACCCCUGGUUCUUGACGGUACCUACAGAAGAAGCACCGGCUAACUCAGUGCCAGCAGCCGCGGUAAUACUGAGGGUGCAAGCGUUAAUCGGAAUUACUGGGCGUAAAGCGCGCGUAGGCGGUCUGGUCAGUCAGAUGUGAAAGCCCCGGGCUUAACCUGGGAACUGCGUUUGAAACUGCCAGACUAGAGUGUGGUAGAGGGAAGUGGAAUUCCGCGUGGAGCGGUGAAAUGCGUAGAGAUGCGGAGGAACACCAGUGGCGAAGGCGACUUCCUGGACCAACACUGACGCUCAGGUGCGAAAGCGUGGGGAGCAAACAGGAUUAGAUACCCUG